CCUACGGGAGGCAGCAGUAAGGAAUAUUGGACAAUGGUCGCAAGACUGAUCCAGCCAUGCCGCGUGAAGGAUGAAGGCCCUAUGGGUUGUAAACUUCUUUUGUAUGGGAAAAAACCCCUCUACGUGUAGAGGGCUGAUUGUACCAUAAGAAUAAGGAUCGGCUAACUCCGUGCCAGCAGCCGCGGUAAUACGGAGGAUCCAAGCGUUAUCCGGAUUCAUUGGGUUUAAAGGGUGCGUAGGCGGAAUGAUAAGUCAGUGGUGAAAGCCUGCAGCUUAACUGCAGAACUGCCAUUGAUACUGUCAAUCUUGAGUACAUUUGAUGAGGGCGGAAUGUGUCAUGUAGCGGUGAAAUGCUUAGAUAUGACACAGAACACCGAUUGCGAAGGCAGCUCUCAAAACUGUAACUGACGCUGAGGCACGAAAGCGUGGGUAUCAAACAGGAUUAGAUACCCUGGUAGUCCACGCUGUAAACUAUGAUUACUCGAUGUUUGCGAUACACUGUAAGCGUCUAAGCGAAAGCGAUAAGUAAUCCACCUGGGGAGUACGCUGCAAGAGUGAAACUCAAAGGAAUUGACGG
RNAcentral lists this ribosomal RNA (577 nucleotides) under uncultured bacterium. Its description in RNAcentral is "bacterial SSU rRNA". It matches the Rfam family "Bacterial small subunit ribosomal RNA", at positions 338 to 916 of the family's 1533-position model. The record is from RNAcentral.